Long non-coding RNA from Corvus hawaiiensis (hawaiian crow), 1526 nucleotides. RefSeq lists it as uncharacterized. Lineage: Eukaryota; Metazoa; Chordata; Aves; Passeriformes; Corvidae. The transcript is spliced from 2 exons. The record is from RefSeq and is a predicted model, not a curated record.
AGCCCACUCCUUGCAUCAGACACUGAUGCACUUCUUUACCCUGAAGGAUCUGCUUCCUAUUUACCCACAGCACUUUUAAGGGUCUCAGGGAGAUGGAAAGCCAACCACAAGAUAGAAGAUGACAGCCAUGGCACAAGACAGUGCAACAGAAAUGAGCAUACACACUAACCUACCUGUAGUUUCUUCCAAGUUUAUUCACACAGGAUGAUGGUGAGAGUUUUUUAAGAUUUAGGCAUGUUAGUUACACUGUUUUUUGCUUCAUUCUCUUUUUAACUGCUGAGAAAAUCAGCACCGGUAUGGGAAAAGGCAAGGGAAAUUAGGGGAUGGACAAACUAAUGUACCAGCUGGUCACAGAUCUAUAAAUCCCAAGCAGCAAUCCUGCAGGCUCUACCUUGUGAAGUGAGUGGGUUUUCCAUUUGGUACUCCAAAUAAAACUAUACCUGCUGGUAAACUAUUUUCACCAGCACUUCAUAUGCACUUCCUCAUACUUGCUUCCCAAAGCUAAUCUAAGCAAUGUAGAUGGAUUGAGUGAGUAAUCACAUGGGCCAGGUUUUAGGUUGUGUUUACCUGUGCAGACUUCAGAGAAUACAGAGUUAAAUGCUGCUCUCAAACACUUUCAAACAAGCUCAGGUUUAUUUUUGUUAUUUGCAUUUCAGCAUCAUCUAAAGUAACAGAUCCAUCACAGAGGGUUUGAGUAACAGAGCAGUAACAGGGGCCACAAGAACAAGCCUCCCAGAUUUCACACACAUGCCCAAUCACCACUGGGCACACACAAUUACAGUGUUACCCCAGCUCCCCACAGAAAUACCAGUACAGACUAAUUGAGUAAAAUAAUACGUGAAAAAUCCCACGUAGCUGGGAAUAAAACAACCACUGCCCAGGAGCCAGGGUGUGGCACCCUGUCACUAUUUGAAAGACAGCAUUCUGGGGCAACUUGAGCUCCCUUGGUUCUUCCUCAGAAAAUCUCUACGCGUAACUAAUAAUUGGCAGUGGAGACUGAUGCCCGUGAGAGAAAUUUUUACAUGUAGCUGAUGUCUCUUGAGAGAGAUUUCACAACAAAUUUAAGCCAGUUGAAGACCUUGAUGCUGCCAAAGAGGUGUGGAAAACAGAAAUGGCCCUUCUUACAGCACCAUCUGCUUAGGUUAGGUUAGGUAUUACAGAACCCCCUUUGUCUCAUCUGCAAAAUAUGGGCAUCAAAGGGGGUAUUUUAAAAACAAUCAGGAGCUGCAGGUUACCGGGUACAGGAAGUUAAGUGUGAGGUUCUGGCAGUUGAAAAUGCAGCCUGCCAAUAACUGCCAUACUGGCAUAAAAGGCAGAUAAAAAGUGUGCUGGAAGAAGUUAUCCUACCUCCCUAACUAGCCCAUCAAAGUACUUUGCUGCAGUGAUGAAAUCACAUGCUGCUCAGUUCCCCAGAAAGUAUAUUCCCCCCAACACAGCAUGACUGCCAUGAAUUAGGCUCCUGGACAAAAACAUUGUCUCUUCUUGAAUCUGUACUGCUACUACAGACUGGAUAAAGACAGAAGUGG